AAUUUUAAGGUCAAGCUACAAAGGGCGCAUGGUGAAUGCCUUGGCACUAGGAGCCGAAGAAGGACGCGAUAAGCUGCGAUAAGCCUUGGGUAGCCGCAAAUAGGCUGAGAUCCAGGGAUUUCCGAAUGAGGAAACUCACAUGGGUAACCCCAUGUAUCAUGCACUGAAUACAUAGGUGUAUGAGGGUAAACCCGGGGAACUGAAACAUCUAAGUACCCGGAGGAAGAGAAAGAAAAAUCGAUUUCCUAAGUAGCGGCGAGCGAACGGGAAAGAGCCCAAACCAGAAACUUGUUUCUGGGGUUGUGGAUAGAUCAUAAAAGAAGAGGUAUCUUAAUCGAAGAGGGCUGGAACGCCCUACCAUAGAAGGUAAUAGUCCUGUAGAUAAAAAGAGAAAACUUCGAGAUCUAAUCCAGAGUACCACGAGACACGUGAAACCUUGUGGGAAGCAGGGAGGACCACCUCCCAAGGCUAAAUACUACCUAGUGACCGAUAGUGAAGCAGUACCGUGAGGGAAAGGUGAAAAGAACCCCGGAAGGGGAGUGAAAUAGAACCUGAAACCGUGUGCCUACAACCGAUCGGAGCACGUUAAAGUGUGACGAUGUGCUUUUUGUAGAACGAGCCAGCGAGUUACGCUAUGUAGCAAGGUUAAGUACUUAAGGUAUGGAGCCGAAGGGAAACCGAGUCUGAAAAGGGCGA
RNAcentral lists this ribosomal RNA (696 nucleotides) under Clostridium botulinum. RNAcentral's name for it is "partial 23S ribosomal RNA". It matches the Rfam family "Bacterial large subunit ribosomal RNA", at positions 1 to 695 of the family's 2925-position model. Lineage: Bacteria; Bacillati; Bacillota; Clostridia; Eubacteriales; Clostridiaceae. The record is from RNAcentral.